RNAcentral lists this ribosomal RNA (330 nucleotides) under uncultured bacterium. RNAcentral's name for it is "bacterial SSU rRNA". It matches the Rfam family "Bacterial small subunit ribosomal RNA", at positions 568 to 898 of the family's 1533-position model. The record is from RNAcentral.
UCCGUAGGCGGUGCGGCAAGUCGAUAGUGAAAUCUCUGGGCUUAACUCAGAGGCUGCUAACGAAACUGCCGUGCUAGAGUGUGAGAGAGGCGAGUGGAAUUACGGGUGUAGCGGUGAAAUGCGUAGAUAUCCGUAGGAACAUCCGAGGCGAAAGCGGCUCGCUGGAUCACAACUGACGCUGAGGGACGAAAGCUAGGGGAGCAAACAGGAUUAGAUACCCUGGUAGUCCUAGCCCUAAACCAUCAGGACUUGGGGUUUGCCCUGUACGGGGCAAGUCCCGUAGCUAACGCGUUAAGUCCUGCGCCUGGGGAGUACGGUCGCAAGGCUGAA